CGGGCAAAGACUAUGUUGUGCAUUUUUCCUACUUUUCUUAUCAUUUUCGUUUGUCUUCAAUGAAGGUUUAUUUUAUUUUUUCCCAUAUUUUUAUCUCUGUGGUCGUUGAACCAUAAGAAGUUUGGAAAUAUUUACUUGAGAAUCCAUUGUUUUAAAAUCCUCUUGCAAUAUCGGUCUUCGUGAAUUUCACUUGAAGUGCAAUAUCAAAUCCAUGUCAUUAUUGUUGUGCCGGUUAAAUCGUAUUAUAGUACCUGAAUAAAAAGUACUUCACAAUUAUUUUCAAGUCGUAUCCCUUCCACCGCGCAAAAAUGUAUACCAUAAAAGAUAUACAAUAUUUACUAUAUUUUUGAACGACCUUAAAUGUCCUAAUAAACCUUUGCCGUAGAAAUGUAAAAACAUUUUUUAGCUUUCGACUACAACAUUUCAUCACAACAGAUAAAAAUGAAAAACAAUUUUUUCAAUCCAUCAGGUGGAAAAGCUUUGGACUGUUCGGACCGAACGUCCGAAAAUUGGGUUAGGAGUUCGAACGGAUGGAAGAACUCCAUCGGACAAAUUCGGUCAAAUUUCUACAACGCUGUGCCUUUUCAUCGUUGUAGCCAACUGAUGUAAGCAAGUGUACUACGAACGAAAUGUCAAAAUCAAUGUCAAAUUAGUCAACAGUUGUUUACUAUGAAAAAUGCUUAAAAUUGCGAUGUGCGUAUGGCGUCGUUCGCGUUUUUGGUUCGCCGAAUAUCUCGAAAAAUUUAAAAGAUACAGUACGCCCCCGCAAAUUAGAAACCCGAAAAUUAGAAAACCUCAGAAAUUAGAAAUGAAUUUCAGGUUUGAAAAUUUGUAUGGAAAAUUUCUAAUUUCCGGGGUUCAUUUCUAAUUCACGGGGUUUCCGAAUCAUUCCAUUCAAGACAAAUGGAAAUUUACUUCAUUUUUAAUGAAAAAACGUAAUGAAAGUCUUUUUCAUUUCAUUGAAUAACUAUAUUAGCAGAUCAGCUGAGAUUUUCGACGUUUACCAUGAAGUUAAAAAUUCAGUCACGAAGUAUUCUGUUCCAUAUUGUCUGCGUCAAUCAUCAAUCAUUAACAAAUCGAAACCGAUUUGUUCCAUCAGAGAAUUUGCAUAUACGAAAUUGUAUAUAGAAUGCUAACGUUUUCUGUUUACUAUCGCAUGAUAUAAUAAGAAAAGCCGGUCAUCAUUUAUUUCGGUUUGUUCCCAGGAGUAGUUUAUCCAGUAAAAUAAACUAACAGACUUACUAUAUAUUUAUAAUCACUAAAAUAACUGCUUAUAUACAUACAAUACUUGAUUGAACAGUGUUCAAUAUAUCGUUUUCAAUUAAGCAAAUCAUUCCCCCUAUCAGUUUAUCAUUUGAUACACCGUUUUUGGAUGAAAUUGAAAAAACCUGAGAUAUUAGAAAACUCCGCAAAUUGGAAAUGGUCUCGGGACAUUUCAUUUCUAAUUUGCGGGGGCGUACUGUAAUUGAGAUCUGUAAAAGCCAGAAGUUUUGGCAUGUCAAGUCCAAGCUUCGGAUUGGUUUUGAGCCCACUCUGACUUACCAAUUUCGUUCCAUACGCCUCCGACUGAGGACCUCAAAAACCUAGAAAAAUUACACUUUUGUAUGGGAAGUACCCGAAAAAAGCAUUUUGCAGGGUUUUGGUCCAGGCAAACUUAUGUUUUUUUGCAAAAAUAAUGGGAGUCAACCGAACACCUACUUUAGCAUAAAUUUCGUCCGAAAUCGACAUUUUUUAAAAUGUUUCCCGAAAAUUACACUUUUGUGUGACAAAUCUCUCAGAAAGCCAUUUUGUUGGGUUUCGAUCAAAGCAAACUGCCAUUGUUUUGUAAAAAUAAUGCGAGUCUUUGAACAAUCAAACACCUACUUAUUUACCGUACGAAUUCCGACUGCUUGAAUUAUUACGCUGAAAGAGCGGAGAAAGAUAGCACAAAUAUCACUUGUCCAUAAUGUGAUAUGUGGAAAUACUUCAUCGAAAUACAUUUUGAGCAAAAUAAGUUUUAAAACACCGCGACAUUGGACAAGAAACUCAGAUUUCCUCCCAUUACCGACGCAUCAAAAUUGCUAUUCUAAGUUUGAACCUAUUAAUUAUAUGUUGAGUACAAACAAUGAAUUUUACAAAUACUUUGUUCCUAUCAAGCCGCCUAAUUUACCAGAUGAAUGUAAUAUUACUACUAUUCCGAAUUGUGAUACUUAUUUAAUUGAUUUUAACACAAGUACAAAUACUGUAAAACAGAGAGUAGCUAACUAUUUUAAGCGAAACAGAAUUUGGAGAGAGUAAAGUCAAAUAGAAUGAAUUAUCCCAUUGUAAAUAUUGUAAAUAUAACAACAUUUAUUUAUGCUAAAUAAACCACCUCUGGCGAAGAAACGCUGUAUGGUGCAGAACAAUAAUAAUAAUAAUAAUAAUAUA
Molecule: long non-coding RNA, 2406 nt
Organism: Sitodiplosis mosellana (orange wheat blossom midge)
Lineage: Eukaryota; Metazoa; Arthropoda; Insecta; Diptera; Cecidomyiidae
Exons: 2
Source: RefSeq, a predicted model, not a curated record